Long non-coding RNA from Oncorhynchus masou masou (cherry salmon), 477 nucleotides. RefSeq lists it as uncharacterized. The record is from RefSeq and is a predicted model, not a curated record. Lineage: Eukaryota; Metazoa; Chordata; Actinopteri; Salmoniformes; Salmonidae. The transcript has 5 exons.
ACGCCAGCAGGUGAAUUGUUAUGAAAUGCUGUGGAGAAUGUGUGGAAAGUCACCACCAUGUUAAUAUUCAGCUGUGGUCUGACUGCUGAGGUUGUUGGCACGUGCGAUCGUUACCUGGUAACAGGUGUUAUGUGACACACAGUGACACACAAUCCAUGGAGGGAUACUCAAAGGCUGCUUUUUACAGGUCACGGUGACAGAUGAAAACGGAAUAUCUACCACUGGACCACGAUUCACCGCCUCUUGUUGUGUUACCUUUUGAGAGUCCUGGCUUAAAAGUCACAGUCAAUGAUUUGAGGAGUCAAGAUUCCCUCUUUCUCUCUGUGUCCUAUGAGAACAGUAUAUUUUAGUCAUUAUAGCACCAUGACCAAAGGGGAUACUACCACCAACCCUGAAACAGAUAUUACGUGGGAGGUGAGAGCAAACAGCCGCCACUUCCACAAACAUCGACAGCAGAGAUCCUUUCUGUGUUUCCGC